AAUCAAGCAUUCUUAUAGAGGCAGAAACAACAACAUAGCACAUGCUGCAAUUGCUUCAACAUUUUAUGGAGACCUUGGCAUUCAGGAAGAUGAUAUAUUUGUCUCUGAUGGUGCAAAAUGUGACAUAUCCUGCCUGCAGAUUCUUUUUGGAUCUAAUGUCACAACGGCGG
Molecule: non-coding RNA, 170 nt
Organism: Jatropha curcas
Lineage: Eukaryota; Viridiplantae; Streptophyta; Magnoliopsida; Malpighiales; Euphorbiaceae
Source: RefSeq, a predicted model, not a curated record